CAGCAGCCGCGGUAAUACGUAGGUGGCAAGCGUUGUCCGGAAUUAUUGGGCGUAAAGCGCGCGCAGGCGGCCUAUCCAGUCUGUCUUAAAAGUUCGGGGCUCAACCCCGUGGUGGGAUGGAAACUAGUAGGCUAGAGUAUCGGAGAGGAAAGCGGAAUUCCUAGUGUAGCGGUGAAAUGCUCAGAUAUUAGGAAGAACACCAGUGGCGAAGGCGACUUUCUGGACGAAAACUGACGCUGAGGCGCGAAAGCCAGGGGAGCGAACGGGAUUAGAUACCCCCGUAGUCCCUGUCUCUUAUACA
This 301-nucleotide ribosomal RNA is filed under the name uncultured bacterium. RNAcentral describes it as "partial 16S ribosomal RNA". It matches the Rfam family "Bacterial small subunit ribosomal RNA", at positions 509 to 809 of the family's 1533-position model. The record is from RNAcentral.